AUCCCAGAUAAACAAUAAAAAGUGUUUAGCUGAUUCAUGGAAGGUGGACAUCGACAUUGGGAGUUCGCUGAUGACACCUUUUUGUUUAUAGGAGGUGUUCUAAUAGUUCCUCAUCAAACACAU
This is a small nucleolar RNA of Rhododendron vialii, 123 nucleotides long. NCBI's taxonomy places the organism in Eukaryota, Viridiplantae, Streptophyta, Magnoliopsida, Ericales, Ericaceae. The record is from RefSeq and is a predicted model, not a curated record.